AGCAGCCGCGGUAAUUCCAGCUCCAAUAGCGUAUAUUAAAGUUGUUGCAGUUAAAAAGCUCGUAGUUGAAUUUCGGCAUCAAUUGAUUGGUCAUGCCUUGGUAUGUACUGGUCAUAUUGGUUCUCACCUUCUAAUGAACCAUAAUGUCAUUUACUUGAUGUUAUGGGGAAUUAGGACUGUUACCUUGAAAAAUUAGAGUGUUUAAAGCAGGCUUACGCUUGAAUACAUUAGCAUGGAAUAAUGAAAUAGGACAUCGCAUUCUAUUUUGUUGGUUUCUAGGAUCGAUGUAAUGAUUAAUAGGGAUAGUUGGGGGCAUUAGUAUUCAAUUGUCAGAGGUGAAAUUCUUGGAUUUAUUGAAGACUAACUACUGCGAAAGCAUUUGCCAAGGAUGUUUUCAUUAAUCAAGAACGAAAGUUAGGGGAUCGAAGACGAUCAGAUACCGUCGUAGUCUUAACCAUAAACUAUGCCGACUAGGGAUCGGAUGAUGUUGAUUUUU
This 496-nucleotide small RNA is filed under the name uncultured Glomus. RNAcentral's name for it is "SSU rRNA". It matches the Rfam family "Eukaryotic small subunit ribosomal RNA", at positions 569 to 1071 of the family's 1831-position model. Lineage: Eukaryota; Fungi; Glomeromycota; Glomeromycetes; Glomerales; Glomeraceae. The record is from RNAcentral.